RNAcentral lists this ribosomal RNA (2903 nucleotides) under Escherichia coli. Its description in RNAcentral is "23S ribosomal RNA from Escherichia coli (PDB 5MGP, chain A)". It matches the Rfam family "Bacterial large subunit ribosomal RNA". The record is from RNAcentral. Lineage: Bacteria; Pseudomonadati; Pseudomonadota; Gammaproteobacteria; Enterobacterales; Enterobacteriaceae. RNAcentral also lists the same sequence under 2 other names.
GGUUAAGCGACUAAGCGUACACGGUGGAUGCCCUGGCAGUCAGAGGCGAUGAAGGACGUGCUAAUCUGCGAUAAGCGUCGGUAAGGUGAUAUGAACCGUUAUAACCGGCGAUUUCCGAAUGGGGAAACCCAGUGUGUUUCGACACACUAUCAUUAACUGAAUCCAUAGGUUAAUGAGGCGAACCGGGGGAACUGAAACAUCUAAGUACCCCGAGGAAAAGAAAUCAACCGAGAUUCCCCCAGUAGCGGCGAGCGAACGGGGAGCAGCCCAGAGCCUGAAUCAGUGUGUGUGUUAGUGGAAGCGUCUGGAAAGGCGCGCGAUACAGGGUGACAGCCCCGUACACAAAAAUGCACAUGCUGUGAGCUCGAUGAGUAGGGCGGGACACGUGGUAUCCUGUCUGAAUAUGGGGGGACCAUCCUCCAAGGCUAAAUACUCCUGACUGACCGAUAGUGAACCAGUACCGUGAGGGAAAGGCGAAAAGAACCCCGGCGAGGGGAGUGAAAAAGAACCUGAAACCGUGUACGUACAAGCAGUGGGAGCACGCUUAGGCGUGUGACUGCGUACCUUUUGUAUAAUGGGUCAGCGACUUAUAUUCUGUAGCAAGGUUAACCGAAUAGGGGAGCCGAAGGGAAACCGAGUCUUAACUGGGCGUUAAGUUGCAGGGUAUAGACCCGAAACCCGGUGAUCUAGCCAUGGGCAGGUUGAAGGUUGGGUAACACUAACUGGAGGACCGAACCGACUAAUGUCGAAAAAUUAGCGGAUGACUUGUGGCUGGGGGUGAAAGGCCAAUCAAACCGGGAGAUAGCUGGUUCUCCCCGAAAGCUAUUUAGGUAGCGCCUCGUGAAUUCAUCUCCGGGGGUAGAGCACUGUUUCGGCAAGGGGGUCAUCCCGACUUACCAACCCGAUGCAAACUGCGAAUACCGGAGAAUGUUAUCACGGGAGACACACGGCGGGUGCUAACGUCCGUCGUGAAGAGGGAAACAACCCAGACCGCCAGCUAAGGUCCCAAAGUCAUGGUUAAGUGGGAAACGAUGUGGGAAGGCCCAGACAGCCAGGAUGUUGGCUUAGAAGCAGCCAUCAUUUAAAGAAAGCGUAAUAGCUCACUGGUCGAGUCGGCCUGCGCGGAAGAUGUAACGGGGCUAAACCAUGCACCGAAGCUGCGGCAGCGACGCUUAUGCGUUGUUGGGUAGGGGAGCGUUCUGUAAGCCUGCGAAGGUGUGCUGUGAGGCAUGCUGGAGGUAUCAGAAGUGCGAAUGCUGACAUAAGUAACGAUAAAGCGGGUGAAAAGCCCGCUCGCCGGAAGACCAAGGGUUCCUGUCCAACGUUAAUCGGGGCAGGGUGAGUCGACCCCUAAGGCGAGGCCGAAAGGCGUAGUCGAUGGGAAACAGGUUAAUAUUCCUGUACUUGGUGUUACUGCGAAGGGGGGACGGAGAAGGCUAUGUUGGCCGGGCGACGGUUGUCCCGGUUUAAGCGUGUAGGCUGGUUUUCCAGGCAAAUCCGGAAAAUCAAGGCUGAGGCGUGAUGACGAGGCACUACGGUGCUGAAGCAACAAAUGCCCUGCUUCCAGGAAAAGCCUCUAAGCAUCAGGUAACAUCAAAUCGUACCCCAAACCGACACAGGUGGUCAGGUAGAGAAUACCAAGGCGCUUGAGAGAACUCGGGUGAAGGAACUAGGCAAAAUGGUGCCGUAACUUCGGGAGAAGGCACGCUGAUAUGUAGGUGAGGUCCCUCGCGGAUGGAGCUGAAAUCAGUCGAAGAUACCAGCUGGCUGCAACUGUUUAUUAAAAACACAGCACUGUGCAAACACGAAAGUGGACGUAUACGGUGUGACGCCUGCCCGGUGCCGGGAGGUUAAUUGAUGGGGUUAGCGCAAGCGAAGCUCUUGAUCGAAGCCCCGGUAAACGGCGGCCGUAACUAUAACGGUCCUAAGGUAGCGAAAUUCCUUGUCGGGUAAGUUCCGACCUGCACGAAUGGCGUAAUGAUGGCCAGGCUGUCUCCACCCGAGACUCAGUGAAAUUGAACUCGCUGUGAAGAUGCAGUGUACCCGCGGCAAGACGGAAAGACCCCGUAAACCUUUACUAUAGCUUGACACUGAACAUUGAGCCUUGAUGUGUAGGAUAGGUGGGAGGCUUUGAAGUGUGGACGCCAGUCUGCAUGGAGCCGACCUUGAAAUACCACCCUUUAAUGUUUGAUGUUCUAACGUUGACCCGUAAUCCGGGUUGCGGACAGUGUCUGGUGGGUAGUUUGACUGGGGCGGUCUCCUCCUAAAGAGUAACGGAGGAGCACGAAGGUUGGCUAAUCCUGGUCGGACAUCAGGAGGUUAGUGCAAUGGCAUAAGCCAGCUUGACUGCGAGCGUGACGGCGCGAGCAGGUGCGAAAGCAGGUCAUAGUGAUCCGGUGGUUCUGAAUGGAAGGGCCAUCGCUCAACGGAUAAAAGGUACUCCGGGGAUAACAGGCUGAUACCGCCCAAGAGUUCAUAUCGACGGCGGUGUUUGGCACCUCGAUGUCGGCUCAUCACAUCCUGGGGCUGAAGUAGGUCCCAAGGGUAUGGCUGUUCGCCAUUUAAAGUGGUACGCGAGCUGGGUUUAGAACGUCGUGAGACAGUUCGGUCCCUAUCUGCCGUGGGCGCUGGAGAACUGAGGGGGGCUGCUCCUAGUACGAGAGGACCGGAGUGGACGCAUCACUGGUGUUCGGGUUGUCAUGCCAAUGGCACUGCCCGGUAGCUAAAUGCGGAAGAGAUAAGUGCUGAAAGCAUCUAAGCACGAAACUUGCCCCGAGAUGAGUUCUCCCUGACCCUUUAAGGGUCCUGAAGGAACGUUGAAGACGACGACGUUGAUAGGCCGGGUGUGUAAGCGCAGCGAUGCGUUGAGCUAACCGGUACUAAUGAACCGUGAGGCUUAACCU